GAUGAAGAACGUAGCGAAAUGCGAUAAGUAAUGUGAAUUGCAGAAUUCAGUGAAUCAUCGAAUCUUUGAACGCACAUUGCGCCCAACAGUAUUCUGUUGGGCAUGCCUGUCCGAGCGUCAUUUCAACCCUCAGGGCCCGUUCGCGGGAACUGGUGUUGGGGAUCGGCCUCCCCCCGGAGGCCGGCCCCGAAAUGCAGUGGCGGCUCUACCGCGAUCUCCUCUGUGUAGUAGCGAUACCUCGCAGCUGGAUAGUGGUGGUGCCACGCCGUAAAAUCCCAACUUUACCAAGGUUGACCUCGGAUCAGGUAGGAAUACCCGCUGAACUUAAGCAUAUCAAUAAGCGGAGGA
This 348-nucleotide unclassified non-coding RNA is filed under the name soil metagenome. Its description in RNAcentral is "partial contains 5.8S ribosomal RNA, internal transcribed spacer 2, and large subunit ribosomal RNA". The stretch from base 1 to 120 matches the Rfam family "5.8S ribosomal RNA", at positions 35 to 154 of the family's 154-position model. The record is from RNAcentral.